RNAcentral lists this ribosomal RNA (608 nucleotides) under uncultured bacterium. Its description in RNAcentral is "bacterial SSU rRNA". It matches the Rfam family "Bacterial small subunit ribosomal RNA", at positions 917 to 1526 of the family's 1533-position model. The record is from RNAcentral.
GGGCCCGCACAAGCAGCGGAGCAUGUGGUUUAAUUCGAAGCAACGCGAAGAACCUUACCUAGACUUGACAUCUCCUGAAUAGCGUAGAGAUACGUGAAGCCCUUCGGGGCAGGAAGACAGGUGGUGCAUGGUUGUCGUCAGCUCGUGUCGUGAGAUGUUGGGUUAAGUCCCGCAACGAGCGCAACCCUUAUCAUUAGUUGCUACCAUUAAGUUGAGCACUCUAGUGAGACUGCCCGGGUUAACCGGGAGGAAGGCGGGGAUGACGUCAAAUCAUCAUGCCCCUUAUGUCUAGGGCUACACACGUGCUACAAUGGUGAGAACAACGAGAUGCAAUACCGCGAGGUGGAGCCAAACUUGAAAACUCAUCCCAGUUCGGAUUGUAGGCUGAAAUUCGCCUACAUGAAAGUUGGAGUUGCUAGUAAUCGCGAAUCAGAAUGUCGCGGUGAAUACGUUCCCGGGCCUUGUACACACCGCCCGUCACACCAUGAGAGCUGGUAACACCCGAAGUCCGUGAGGUAACCUUUAUGGGGCCAGCGGCCGAAGGUGGGAUUAGUGAUUGGGGUGAAGUCGUAACAAGGUAGCCGUAGGAGAACCUGCGGCUGGAUCAC